Molecule: ribosomal RNA, 478 nt
Filed under: uncultured bacterium
Lineage: Bacteria
Description: bacterial SSU rRNA
Rfam family: Bacterial small subunit ribosomal RNA
Source: RNAcentral
AAUCAACGCUGGCGGCGUGCCUCAGACAUGCAAGUCGAACGAGAAAGUUUCCUUCGGGGAAUGAGUAAAGUGGCGCACGGGUGAGUAACACGUAGGUAAUCUACCUUCGGGUGGGGAAUAACCCAGGGAAACUUGGGCUAACACCGCAUAAUGCAGCGGCACCACAUGGUGACAGUUGUUAAAGCGGGGGAUUUUAGGACCUCGCGCCUGAAGAGGAGCCUGCGGCGGAUUAGCUAGUUGGAAGGUAACGGCUUACCAAGGCGACGAUCCGUAACCGGCCUGAGAGGGCGGUCGGUCACACUGACACUGACAUACGGGUCAGACUCCUACGGGAGGCAGCAGUCGGGAAUUUUGGGCAAUGGGCGAAAGCCUGACCCAGCAACGCCGCGUGAAGGAUGAAAUCCCUCGGGAUGUAAACUUCGCAAGAUUGGGAAGAAUUAGUAGGGGUUAAUACCCUCUAUGACGACGUACUUUGUAA